AUGCAGUCGAGCGAACAGACGAGGAGCUUGCUCCUCUGACGUUAGCGGCGGACGGGUGAGUAACACGUGGAUAACCUACCUAUAAGACUGGGAUAACUUCGGGAAACCGGAGCUAAUACCGGAUAAUAUAUUGAACCGCAUGGUUCAAUAGUGAAAGACGGUUUUGCUGUCACUUAUAGAUGGAUCCGCGCCGCAUUAGCUAGUUGGUAAGGUAACGGCUUACCAAGGCAACGAUGCGUAGCCGACCUGAGAGGGUGAUCGGCCACACUGGAACUGAGACACGGUCCAGACUCCUACGGGAGGCAGCAGUAGGGAAUCUUCCGCAAUGGGCGAAAGCCUGACGGAGCAACGCCGCGUGAGUGAUGAAGGUCUUCGGAUCGUAAAACUCUGUUAUUAGGGAAGAACAAAUGUGUAAGUAACUAUGCACGUCUUGACGGUACCUAAUCAGAAAGCCACGGCUAACUACGUGCCAGCAGCCGCGGUAAUACGUAGGUGGCAAGCGUUAUCCGGAAUUAUUGGGCGUAAAGCGCGCGUAGGCGGUUUUUUAAGUCUGAUGUGAAAGCCCACGGCUCAACCGUGGAGGGUCAUUGGAAACUGGAAAACUUGAGUGCAGAAGAGGAAAGUGGAAUUCCAUGUGUAGCGGUGAAAUGCGCAGAGAUAUGGAGGAACACCAGUGGCGAAGGCGACUUUCUGGUCUGUAACUGACGCUGAUGUGCGAAAGCGUGGGGAUCAAACAGGAUUAGAUACCCUGGUAGUCCACGCCGUAAACGAUGAGUGCUAAGUGUUAGGGGGUUUCCGCCCCUUAGUGCUGCAGCUAACGCAUUAAGCACUCCGCCUGGGGAGUACGACCGCAAGGUUGAAACUCAAAGGAAUUGACGGG
Molecule: ribosomal RNA, 880 nt
Filed under: Staphylococcus epidermidis
Lineage: Bacteria; Bacillati; Bacillota; Bacilli; Caryophanales; Staphylococcaceae
Description: bacterial SSU rRNA
Rfam family: Bacterial small subunit ribosomal RNA
Source: RNAcentral